Parasporobacterium paucivorans DSM 15970 is the source of this 172-nucleotide non-coding RNA. NCBI's taxonomy places the organism in Bacteria, Bacillati, Bacillota, Clostridia, Lachnospirales, Lachnospiraceae. The record is from Rfam.
UCCAUCGUGAGGUGGAAUCUGAAGGAAGGUGGAGGCAAAACUCUGGUCUGACGAACAGAAAUCACAUGAGGCUAUACGUUGAGGAUAAGGUUGCCAGACAAACCAAAGUCCAAUUACUACUCGGAAUCAACUAUAGUAAAUGUGGCAGAUGGAUGGAGUGAAAGAAACGUGU